This 182-nucleotide ribosomal RNA is filed under the name Salmonella enterica. RNAcentral's name for it is "partial 16S ribosomal RNA". It matches the Rfam family "Bacterial small subunit ribosomal RNA", at positions 1 to 176 of the family's 1533-position model. The record is from RNAcentral. RNAcentral also lists the same sequence under 1 other name. Lineage: Bacteria; Pseudomonadati; Pseudomonadota; Gammaproteobacteria; Enterobacterales; Enterobacteriaceae.
AAAUUGAAGAGUUUGAUCAUGGCUCAGAUUGAACGCUGGCGGCAGGCCUAACACAUGCAAGUCGAACGGUAACAGGAAGCAGCUUGCUGUUUCGCUGACGAGUGGCGGACGGGUGAGUAAUGUCUGGGAAACUGCCUGAUGGAGGGGGAUAACUACUGGAAACGGUGGCUAAUACCGCAUAA